CGUCACACCGCCUCACGCAUCUCACCCAAGUCAGCCACUCGUCCCUCACCCGGCCCCAACGCGCUGCUCCAGUAAUCGCCCUCAACGCAGGCAGAAAGUAAUCAACCUUUUAUUUUCAUUAUUCCCUACUAAAAAUCUCUGCUGUCUUUUGCGAAUUGCCUGAAUUUCCACUUGUUACACGCAGGAACUGACCGAGAAACUGAGCAGGAUGCACUGCAGGAAGGCAGCCAUCCCACACUGCCGGUCUUAGACAGUGGAACACAGGCAGCACCAACAACUGGCAUGCCAGGCAUGAAUGCCAGGAAAAGCACAGAGGCUGCUGUUCAGAAAUCUGUGCAGAAGCACCACAUCGCAGCCAUGGUAAUGUUCUCAGUUGUGCUGCUGUCUGCGCUGAUGCUGGCCUGUGGUGCUGUGAUAUGGAUGUGCAAAAAAUACCUGUGAGUUGGCUUUUCCCCAAAACACCCAAUUGCUGCAUUUGGCAAUGAAGUAUUUAUAGUGCCAGGAUCCCGGACGGCCAAAUCAGCUGCUGGCAGUACACUGCCAGGACUUAUGUUGCCAAGUCUUCCUAGUUUCCCCUUAUUUCGCUGUCAGGGAGUAGUCCUUUCUGAAACUCCUUUUCACAGAGUGUGCAAGAGAGAAGAGAGAGCAGCAGAACCAGCUCAUCCUGAUACCAACUAGGAGAGAGUUCCAACUGGAAAUGAGGGCAGAAUGGAGCUGGGAGAAGCAACAAAAGACUCUUGCCCCAUCAAACAAAAAUCUCAGCAAUAGUUCUGGUCCAUUCCAUUCUGCCAUCCAGGAGGCCAGAGGUCUUCAAAGUCAUCUAGAAGGCCUGGAGCGUGAACUCAGAGCCGUGAAAGAGGUCCUGGGAACAGUCCUGAGUGCUGCUUUCUGUCAGAGGACGUCCCCGAAAGUGAGAGUGGAGAAUCAGCAGCAGAGUUUUUGUCCUUCAUCCUGCACUCUCCAGGACAAGUAUCACCAAUAAUUUGAAGAUUCUUAGCUCGCCAUAGCUACAGUCCUUUUGAGGGUCCUCAUCCCAGAAGAAGUGAGCUUCCUCCGCCCCCGGACAAUACGUUAACAUCUUUGGAGACGUGGAUGAGAAUGGCUGGUUUCAGGGAGAGCUGACAGAUGGCACAAGAGGACUGGUCCCUUCCAGUUUGGUUGCAGAGGUUUCAGAUGAUGAACUGGAUACACCUCAAGAUCCUGUCAGAAUUCCUACAUCACUCCAUCUGCAAGACUACCCCCUGCUCCCCUUGAUGUUCAAGUGGAAUGUGUGCAGGAUGUGGAUGAGCUCUUACAAAACAAAACAGAAACAAAAACAAUCAAUUAAACACCCACAAUAAAACAGUCAAUCAAAC
Long non-coding RNA from Lagopus leucura (white-tailed ptarmigan), 1355 nucleotides. RefSeq lists it as uncharacterized. The record is from RefSeq and is a predicted model, not a curated record. Lineage: Eukaryota; Metazoa; Chordata; Aves; Galliformes; Phasianidae. The transcript has 3 exons.